This 337-nucleotide long non-coding RNA is filed under the name Ananas comosus (pineapple). Its description in RNAcentral is "long non-coding RNA (ACOM_LNC002830)". The record is from RNAcentral. Lineage: Eukaryota; Viridiplantae; Streptophyta; Magnoliopsida; Poales; Bromeliaceae.
CUCCCUCUAUAUAUAUAUAUAUAUAUAUAUAUAUAUAUAAUAUUGUAUACAUACUAUUACAUAACUUAUCAAUUUAUCAUAUAAUAUAAUAUUAUUUUAAUAUAUUUAAUUUAUAAAUAUAAGUUAUAAAAAUAAAUUUAUUAUUAUAUAUAUAUAAAUAACAUAUAAUAUAUUAUAAAAAAAACAUAAAACUUUUUUGCCUUCGAACCAAACAAGUGUGGCUGAAAAUUAUUUUUUCUUUCCUACAAACUAAACACUAAAAAAUGUACAACUUUUUUAUCACUGAAUAUUUUUUUUCACCGAAAUAUUUUUUCUACAGUUGUACAUAGAACCAAAU